UUAGUGGCGAACGGGUGAGNAACGCGUGAGUAACCUGCCCUGGAGUGGGGGACAACAGUUGGAAACGACUGCUAAUACCGCAUAAGCCCACGGAUCCGCAUGGAUCUGCGGGAAAAGGAUUUAUUCGCUUCAGGAUGGACUCGCGUCCAAUUAGCUGGUUGGUGAGGUAACGGCCCACCAAGGCGACGAUUGGUAGCCGGACUGAGAGGUUGAACGGCCACAUUGGGACUGAGACACGGCCCAGACUCCUACGGGAGGCAGCAGUGGGGGAUAUUGCACAAUGGGGGAAACCCUGAUGCAGCGACGCCGCGUGGAGGAAGAAGGUUUUCGGAUUGUAAACUCCUGUCGUUAGGGACGAUAAUGACGGUACCUAACAAGAAAGCACCGGCUAACUACGUGCCAGCAGCCGCGGUAAAACGUAGGGUGCAAGCGUUGUCCGGAAUUACUGGGUGUAAAGGGAGCGCAGGCGGACCGGCAAGUUGGAAGUGAAAACUAUGGGCUCAACCCAUAAAUUGCUUUCAAAACUGCUGGCCUUGAGUAGUGCAGAGGUAGGUGGAAUUCCCGGUGUAGCGGUGGAAUGCGUAGAUAUCGGGAGGAACACCAGUGGCGAAGGCGACCUACUGGGCACCAACUGACGCUGAGGCUCGAAAGCAUGGGUAGCAAACAGGAUUAGAUACCCUGGUAGUCCAUGCCGUAAACGAUGAUUACUAGGUGU
This 715-nucleotide ribosomal RNA is filed under the name uncultured bacterium. RNAcentral describes it as "bacterial SSU rRNA". It matches the Rfam family "Bacterial small subunit ribosomal RNA", at positions 92 to 823 of the family's 1533-position model. The record is from RNAcentral.